Molecule: ribosomal RNA, 640 nt
Filed under: Cercomonas elliptica
Lineage: Eukaryota; Cercozoa; Cercomonadida; Cercomonadidae
Description: eukaryotic LSU rRNA
Rfam family: Eukaryotic large subunit ribosomal RNA (bases 349-640)
Source: RNAcentral
GCGCUUUCUGGAUAGGCCAGGAAGCAUGCCUCUUUGAGCAUCGUUUUCACCUCUGCUCGACUGCGCUCUUUCUAACGAUCGAGCUGCGUGUCGGAAAAUGAGUUUGUCUUACUCUAACCGAGUAAGUCACUUGAAAUGCGGUGAGUCUCUAACCUCUCAUCAUGAAAGUGAAAGCAGCAAUGCUUGCCGUUUAUGCGGUUGUUUAAUCACGAGUCAAUGGUGUUGUGGAUAAUCAUUAUUCAACAAUACUGCUGAUAAGGCGAUUGAACGCUCAAAUCGUAUCUAUGGUCAACACCUUCUGAGUAAACUGAGAUCUCAGUGGAAAUUUAUACAACUAAUUCUUGAAUUAGAUCUCAAAUGAAGCAAGAGUACCCGCUGAACUUAAGCAUAUUAUUAAGCGGAGGAAAAGAAACUAACAAGGAUGCCCUCAGUAACGGCGAGUGAAGCGGGCAAAGCUCAACCUGAAAAUCGGGUAUCCAAACGGGUGCUCGAAUUGUGGGCUAGAGACGCGUGAUCAGUGUGUGACCCAGAUAUAAAUCUUUUGAAACAAGGUAUCAUAGAGGGUGAGAAUCCCGUCUGUGAUCUGGAGUUCGCCGCGUACGAUCCGUGUUCGCAGAGUCGAGUUGUUUGGGAUUGCAGC